Molecule: ribosomal RNA, 460 nt
Filed under: uncultured bacterium
Lineage: Bacteria
Description: partial 16S ribosomal RNA
Rfam family: Bacterial small subunit ribosomal RNA
Source: RNAcentral
CCUACGGGAGGCAGCAGUGAGGAAUAUUGGUCAAUGGACGAGAGUCUGAACCAGCCAAGUAGCGUGAAGGAUGACUGCCCUAUGGGUUGUAAACUUCUUUUAUAUGGGAAUAAAACGUUCCACGUGUGGGAUUUUGUAUGUACCAUAUGAAUAAGGAUCGGCUAACUCCGUGCCAGCAGCCGCGGUAAUACGGAGGAUCCGAGCGUUAUCCGGAUUUAUUGGGUUUAAAGGGAGCGUAGGUGGAUUGUUAAGUCAGUUGUGAAAGUUUGCGGCUCAACCGUAAAAUUGCAGUUGAAACUGGCAGUCUUGAGUACAGUAGAGGUGGGCGGAAUGCGUGGUGUAGCGGUGAAAUGCUUAGAGAGCACGAAGAACUCCGAUUGCGAAGGCAGUUCACUGGACUGCAACUGACACUGAGGCUCGAAAGUGUGGGUAUCAAACAGGAUUAGAUACCCGGGUAGUC